CUAAGCACUUUACAUAUAUUAUCUCAUAUAACUCCUCAAUAAUGCUGUAAGGUAGGUGUUGGGCAUCUCCCCAUUUUAUACAUAAAUGAGGAAAUUGUAGUGUAACUGAGUGACUGUGGUUUUGGAGUCAAGUCAUCUUCCUUUUUUUUUUUAAGUAAUACAUGAUAAUUGUACAUAUUUUGGAGGCACGUGUGGUAUUUUGAUACAUACAUGCAAUGUGUAACGAUCAAAUCAAGAUAACUGGGACAUCCAUCAACCCAAAUAUUCACCCCUUCUUCAUGUGGGGACAUCCCAGUUCCUCUCCUCCAGCAAUUGUUUCUUCUUCCGCCUCCUCUUCUUCCUCUUCCUCCUCCUCCUCCUUCUUCUUCUUCCUGUUGUUCUUGUUCUUUUUCUACUUCUUCUUCUUUGAGAUGGAAUCUCACUCUGUGGCCCAGGCCGGAGUGCAGUGGCGUGAUCUCAGCUCACUGCAACUUCCACCUCCUGGGUUCAUUCGAUUCUCCUGCCUCAGACUCCCAGGUAGCUGGGAUUACAGGCGCACACCACCACACCUGGCUAAUUUUUGUAUUUUUUUAGUAGAGACGGGGUUUUUCACCAUGUUGGCCAGGCUGUUUUCAAACUCCUGACAUCAGGUGAUCCGCCUGCCUCAGCCUCACAAAGUGUUGGGAUUACAGGCAUGAGCCAGCACUACCGGCCAAGCAAUUUUGAACUCUAAAACAAAUUAUUAACUCUAGUGUCUCCACUGUACUGUAGAACUCUAGAUCUUAUUCCUUCCAUCUGGAUUUUCGUUGGACAUCUUCCUUUUGAAGCCCAGCUUUGUCGUGCUUUCCACGGGACUUGAGCAAACCUCUCCCCUGAUGGCCUGUGUAUUCCUCUGAUCAGGACUUCCCCAGAGCUCCUCCUUGACCUGACGUUUUUUUCUGGGCACUUCUCUCUGACCCCUCGGCAGGGUUUUCUCUUCCUCUUCUAAGCUUCUUUCCCCAGUCCUUCCCUGGGCCUUAGCAGGCCAAGGCUACAAUUUCAAAAGGAGUUGAGUUUCUUCUGGAAAGGGGCUGGGAUGGAACCUCUCCCCUACAUGGUCUCUUCCCAUAAAUGCCCCCUGUGUGCAGCGCCCAGGGGCCCCGGGGAGCCUGGGCGGCUGAUCUGUAAUUAGAAACUUUUCUGCCUUCACGACAGGAGGAGGGAGGGCCCAGGUCUGGCCCAGUUAUUUUGUUUCUCAUGAAUUAUUCAGGAGAUGGGAAGUGGAGUGAAGCCGGGCCCCUCUGCUGACCAAAGCUCUGCCCAAGGCAGCACGACCUACCCAGCUCUGUCCCUUUUACUGUUUCAGACCCAGGAAAUAAACAAACCAUGUGCCAGGCACGUUUACUGAGGGUGUUUUCAUCAGACUCGGGGAGGGAGGUAUGUUCUUUAGCUGCAGAGGGUGACAGGGACUUAUCCAAGGUCACAAGCCUAGGAAAAGGACGGCUGAGCUGGGACUCAAACCCAGGAACACGACGCGAGGAAAAAGCAUGGGUGGAGCUUCUGAGAGCCUUCUUGUCACCCUGGGGAAGAGAGUGUCUGUCUGAGAUUGAAGCCACAGAAGAAAGCAGAGCCAAGACAUGGUCGGCUUCUCUGGGAAGCAGACUCAGAGAUGGAGACUGGUAUGUAGAACUUCAUCAGGAGGUGCUUGUGGGAGCAACACCCACCAAAGAAAAGGAAGGAAGCUGGAUUGGGCAGAGGGAAGGGUGGUGCUGUAAUCCAGUCUCAGCGGAGGCCUCGGCCAGCCCCGUCGGGACUUCUGAAGCUGAGAUGACCCGUCAGAGUUGUUCUGUGUUGAGAUGAGGAGGCUGAGUCUUUACACCUGUACUGACCAGUCCAAGGAUGUGAGCUGCGCUGGGAAGGGGCUAUGACCUCGGAGUGAUGACUCCCUUCAGUGUGGCCAAACCACAGAGGGACUCAGCUGUGAGCUGUCAGCAACCAACACCUCCAGCAGCUAGAGAAAUGCGUGGAUUCUAAAGGAACAUCAGGCUGGAUCCCUUAUAUUAUACAGCUGGCGGGUGGUGGGAGCAUUUUUCCUCCUCUCAUCUCUGGACUCCAAAGACCCCUGAAAACAGCCAAUCAAGGAACAAGGACCUGAACUUUCCCUGACUUGGGCCUCACAUCAAGCUGUUUGCUCUUGCUUCUGUAUUCCAGGGUACCUUGUUCGAACCUCACUGUUUCAUGUAGCACGUUCCUUGAAUAAUAAUAAUAAGUGAUGUGGCUGAGUGCGGUGGCUCACGCCUGUAAUCCCAACACUUUGGGAGGCCAAGGCAGGUGGAUCGCUUGAGGUCAGGAUUUCGAGACCAGUUUGGGUAACAUGGUAAAACCCCCUCUCUACUAAAAAAUACAAAAAUUAGCCAGGCGUGGUGGUGUACACCAGUAGUCUCAAUUACUCAGGAGGCUGAAGGGGGAUUGCUUGAGCCCAAGAGGUGGAGGUUGCCAUGAACUGAGAUCCUGCCACUGCACUCCAGCCUGGGCUACAGAGUGAGACCCUGUUUAAAAAAAAAAAAAAAAAUGUGAUAUAUAAACCAAAUCUAAGCACUUUAUGGCCAAACGUGGUGGCUCACGCCUGUAAUCCAAGCACUUUGGGAGGCUAAGGUGGGUAGAUCAUCUGAGGUCAGGAAUUACAGAUCAGCCUGGCCAACAUGGCAAAGCCCUCUACUAAAUAUACAAAAAUUAGCUGAGCAUGGUGGAAGGCAUCCGUAAUCCUAGCUCCUCAGGAGGCUGAGGCACAAAAAUCACUUGAAAAUGGGAGGUGGAGGCUGCAGUGAGCUGAGAUUGUGUCACUGCACUCCAGCUUGGGCAGCAGAGUGAGACUCUGUCUCACAGAAAAUUAAAUUAAAUUAAAAAAUAAACCAGUACUAUGUACAUUAUUUAUUUAUUUAUAUUUUGAGACGAACUCUCACUCUGUUGUCCAGGCUGGAGUGCAGUGGCUCAAUCUCAGUGCAAUGGUGGGAUGAUCUCAGCUCACUACAACCUCCACCUCCUGGGUUCAAGUUAUUCUCCUAUCUCAACUUCCCAAAUAGCUGGGAUUAUAGGCGCAUGCCACCAGGCCCAGCUAAUUUUUGUAUUUUUUUUAGUAGAGAUGGGGUUUCACCCUGUUGGCCAAGCUGGUCUUGAACUCAUGACCCCAAGUGAUCCACUGGCCUCAGCCUCCCAAAGUGCUGGGAUUACCAUCGUGAGCCACUGGGCCCAGCCUGUUCUAAGUACUUUACAUGGAUUAAAUCAUUUAAUGCUUACAACAACUCUA
Non-coding RNA from Callithrix jacchus (white-tufted-ear marmoset), 3265 nucleotides. The record is from RefSeq and is a predicted model, not a curated record. NCBI's taxonomy places the organism in Eukaryota, Metazoa, Chordata, Mammalia, Primates, Cebidae.